UGGUAAUACCGGAUGCUCCGCUCCAUCGCAUGGUGGGGUGGGAAAUGCUUUUGCGGCAUGGGAUGGGGUCGCGUCCUAUCAGCUUGUUGGCGGGGUGAUGGCCCACCAAGGCGUUGACGGGUAGCCGGCCUGAGAGGGUGACCGGCCACAUUGGGACUGAGAUACGGCCCAGACUCCUACGGGAGGCAGCAGUGGGGAAUAUUGCACAAUGGGCGCAAGCCUGAUGCAGCGACGCCGCGUGCGGGAUGGAGGCCUUCGGGUUGUAAACCGCUUUUGUUCAAGGGCAAGGCACGGUUUCGGCCGUGUUGAGUGGAUUGUUCGAAUAAGCACCGGCUAACUACGUGCCAGCAGCCGCGGUAAUACGUAGGGUGCGAGCGUUAUCCGGAUUUAUUGGGCGUAAAGGGCUCGUAGGCGGUUCGUCGCGUCCGGUGUGAAAGUCCAUCGCCUAACGGUGGAUCUGCGCCGGGUACGGGCGGGCUGGAGUGCGGUAGGGGAGACUGGAAUUCCCGGUGUAACGGUGGAAUGUGUAGAUAUC
Molecule: ribosomal RNA, 535 nt
Filed under: Bifidobacterium animalis subsp. lactis
Lineage: Bacteria; Bacillati; Actinomycetota; Actinomycetes; Bifidobacteriales; Bifidobacteriaceae
Description: bacterial SSU rRNA
Rfam family: Bacterial small subunit ribosomal RNA
Source: RNAcentral